Molecule: long non-coding RNA, 457 nt
Organism: Camelus dromedarius (Arabian camel)
Lineage: Eukaryota; Metazoa; Chordata; Mammalia; Artiodactyla; Camelidae
Exons: 3
Source: RefSeq, a predicted model, not a curated record
AACAUCUUAUACCUGAAACUCCAGCUCAGUAUCUGCUUCCAGAGAACUCAACCUACAACAUGGAGUGAGAGGAAAUAGCAGACUCUGUAGACACAGGAAAGAUAAGUAGUGUGGCAGACAGAAGUUGAUAUAUGAACAAGGACAUUUCACUACCUAAGAUGAGUAAGAGAGACAAAGAGGAGCGGACCAUGGUUUAGUCUGAAAGAAGAUGAGGGACCCAGACUGACAGAGCAGCUGAAUCUGGAAUAUUGCCUAUCUUAUAUCGGAAGGAAAAGAGAGCAUGGCAAAACCACUCAAUGACUCUAAAAAGUUCUGCUCAAAAGAACUCCCAUUCUGUUCUCUGCUUAGGGCACAGAACUUUGUAUCCAUACUCGGCACUAAUCUCACCAUGGACCUAGGGGAAUCUUUGGAAACAGAGCACUGAUGUGUCCAGAGUGGUUGUUUUCCAAAUACAGGA